Molecule: ribosomal RNA, 441 nt
Filed under: uncultured bacterium
Lineage: Bacteria
Description: partial 16S ribosomal RNA
Rfam family: Bacterial small subunit ribosomal RNA
Source: RNAcentral
CCUACGGGAGGCAGCAGUGGGGAAUAUUGGGCAAUGGGCGCAAGCCUGACCCAGCAACGCCGCGUGAAGGAUGAAGGUUUUCGGAUUGUAAACUUCUGUCGCGAGGGACGAAGAAUGACGGUACCUCGUAAGAAAGCCCCGGCUAACUACGUGCCAGCAGCCGCGGUAAUACGUAGGGGGCAAGCGUUGUCCGGAAUGACUGGGCGUAAAGGGAGUGUAGGCGGCUUAUCAAGUUAGAUGUGAAAACCACGGGCUCAACCUGUGGCCUGCAUUUGAAACUGUAGUUCUUGAGUACUGGAGAGGCAGACGGAAUUCCUAGUGUAGCGGUGAAAUGCGUAGAUAUUAGGAGGAACACCAGUGGCGAAGGCGGUCUGCUGGACAGCAACUGACGCUGAGGCGCGAAAGCGUGGGGAGCAAACAGGAUUAGAUACCCUAGUAGUC